Molecule: unclassified non-coding RNA, 292 nt
Filed under: plant metagenome
Description: partial contains small subunit ribosomal RNA, internal transcribed spacer 1, and 5.8S ribosomal RNA
Rfam family: 5.8S ribosomal RNA (bases 244-292)
Source: RNAcentral
UUUCCGUAGGUGAACCUGCGGAAGGAUCAUUAAUGAGUUGUCAUGGGGUUCGAUGCUGGCAGCCAGUUUUUGGAUGCAUGUGCUUGCCCUAACAAUCAUCUUCUUCCAAACACCUGUGCACAUUUUUGAGGGAGUCUUGAGUUGGUUGCCGCUCUUGGGUGAUUUUCUCACAUUCCCUUAAAUCAUUAUACGCUAUUAACAAUGUUGAACGUGCUCUGUGCCGCAAGGCCAUUAAUAUAAUACAACUUUUAACAACGGAUCUCUUGGCUCUCGCAUCGAUGAAGAACGCAGU